Molecule: ribosomal RNA, 854 nt
Filed under: Sutcliffiella horikoshii
Lineage: Bacteria; Bacillati; Bacillota; Bacilli; Caryophanales; Bacillaceae
Description: bacterial SSU rRNA
Rfam family: Bacterial small subunit ribosomal RNA
Source: RNAcentral
AAGUCAGCGGCGGACGGGUGAGUAACACGUGGGCAACCUGCCUGUAAGACUGGGAUAACUUCGGGAAACCGGAGCUAAUACCGGAUAAUAUAAGGAACCUCCUGGUUCUUUAUUGAAAGAUGGUUUCGGCUAUCACUUACAGAUGGGCCCGCGGCGCAUUAGCUAGUUGGUGAGGUAAUGGCUCACCAAGGCGACGAUGCGUAGCCGACCUGAGAGGGUGAUCGGCCACACUGGGACUGAGACACGGCCCAGACUCCUACGGGAGGCAGCAGUAGGGAAUCUUCCACAAUGGACGAAAGUCUGAUGGAGCAACGCCGCGUGAGCGAUGAAGGCCUUCGGGUCGUAAAGCUCUGUUGUUAGGGAAGAACAAGUGCGAGAGUAACUGCUCGCACCUUGACGGUACCUAACCAGAAAGCCACGGCUAACUACGUGCCAGCAGCCGCGGUAAUACGUAGGUGGCAAGCGUUGUCCGGAAUUAUUGGGCGUAAAGCGCGCGCAGGUGGUCCUUUAAGUCUGAUGUGAAAGCCCACGGCUCAACCGUGGAGGGUCAUUGGAAACUGGGGGACUUGAGUGCAGAAGAGGAAAGUGGAAUUCCAAGUGUAGCGGUGAAAUGCGUAGAGAUUUGGAGGAACACCAGUGGCGAAGGCGACUUUCUGGUCUGUAACUGACACUGAGGCGCGAAAGCGUGGGGAGCAAACAGGAUUAGAUACCCUGGUAGUCCACGCCGUAAACGAUGAGUGCUAAGUGUUAGAGGGUUUCCGCCCUUUAGUGCUGCAGCUAACGCAUUAAGCACUCCGCCUGGGGAGUACGGUCGCAAGACUGAAACUCAAAGGAAUUGACGGGGGCCCGCACAA